AAAUACAUAAAUUUAUCCAACACGUCUUCGGAUCCCGGACGCUGCGGUUUCAUAUUUCAUCCACGGAUAGUCCCCCAAACACUCAAUUUGUCAAAUCCCCUUCACUUCUUUUGAACAUUCACUUUCCAAAGCAAUUCAAAUCUCAGAACAAGAAUCCAAUUCUCCCAAUGCAAUUUCUCCACCCAUAGUUUUCCCAUUCAGGAAUAAUCAAAUCCAACGCAACCCCCAUUUCAGGAAUAAUCGAAUCCAACGAAAUCCAAUUCCAUUUUGUCCCUUUUGCAGUUACUUCUCAUGACGCCCGCGGAGGCUAAACCAAGGAGGGUGGAUAUAUUUUUCGGUCAGCACGAGGGAUCACAAUUCACAGGUGGGAAAAUGAUGGACGUCUUCUUCCUCAAAAAACAAUAUAUAUUACUCAUAGUAAAGAUAUGUGACCAAAUACGUUUGAUGAUACUGUCAUUCGUCGGUUACCAAGAAGGGGUUCUUGAUUUACAAGAACAAGGUGUGGUUUAUUUAUGAAGAACUUGAUUUACAAGAACAAGGUGUGGUUUAUUUAUGAAGAAUAUUUUCCUGAUUGGUUACGAUGGUUUUGUAACUGUUUGUCUAUGUCUUUCUAGAAUGGUUGUAGUGGAUAUGUCAAUUGUUUUAUUCUUUGAUAGUAUAUGUCUCAAUAAAUGUUUGCUACUAUUUUCUCAA
Molecule: long non-coding RNA, 693 nt
Organism: Pyrus x bretschneideri (Chinese white pear)
Lineage: Eukaryota; Viridiplantae; Streptophyta; Magnoliopsida; Rosales; Rosaceae
Exons: 2
Source: RefSeq, a predicted model, not a curated record